UGGAUUUGUGUCAGAGAGCUGUCAUCCGCUGAUAAUGACAGCGGUGUUUCUGGACGGACGAUCACGUGUGAGGUACCGCAUCUGUAUCCACAGUGUCACACAUGACACGGCUCAUCAUCUAUAUCUGGCCCUAAGUGAUAUUAUGCAGUUGCUAUGGUUAUCAGCUCAAUGACCUGAAGCUGGAGAACAACCAUGUGCACAUUUUGCAGGAGCCAUUAGAUGCCAUGCACCAUAAGCAAAGAGAUAAUGGCAUAUCAUUACCCACAAUGCCUUUUCUAACCCUCAUCUGAGAGAGGAGAGAGCUGGGGGAGAUGGAUGCUCCGCCAAAUGGGUCCUGACAGGACGGGGCAGGAGUGAUUUGGUAUGCAGAGGGUCUCUCACCUUGAGGGGCAAGGUAUUUGCUCUGGGAGUCUGUGUUAAGAGCAAGAUGUGCGUACGGCAUCUCCAAACACCCAGACAGGUGCUGAAUUUAACACCACGCCGCCUGAGAAAGCCCAUCAUAUCAUUUCCUCCUGCAGUAAUUAGUGUGGAAUGUUAGUUUUUCCAACAAAAAAUAGCAGUCAGUGUUGAUUUGUGUUAUGACCGGACAGGAAAUGGCCCGUCUUUAUAAUAAUACGUAGCAGAGAUUGGAAUGAAGCGGGUGAUUUUACAUGUGACUAUACUGGCUCUAACCUUUUAACCUUCAUAAUAAAAAUGGCCUCUGGUGGUAGAGCUAAAAAUGAACUUGAUAAUGUUCAUAAUGAAGCAGCAGCACAUCAAUAUUACGGAGGAAAGAUUCAUCUAAUGUGGACAGAACGACAUACUAAAAUACUCAAAGUCACAACUGAAUAGAAUAAGUCUACAGCAAUAGAAAUUGCAUAAAAAACAAUACAUUUCUAUUGACAAACAACUAGCACAAAUGUAACAAACUUAAAGCACAACACGUGUAGUCUGACUGACAAAAAAUGACCCUUAAAAACCUUUAAUGAAUUGGUUAAAAAGAUAUACAACUCUUUAAAUCAAUUGUUCAGAAAA
Molecule: long non-coding RNA, 1014 nt
Organism: Cyprinus carpio carpio
Lineage: Eukaryota; Metazoa; Chordata; Actinopteri; Cypriniformes; Cyprinidae
Source: Ensembl